RNAcentral lists this long non-coding RNA (2415 nucleotides) under Nicotiana tabacum (common tobacco). Its description in RNAcentral is "long non-coding RNA (NTAB_LNC018766)". The record is from RNAcentral. Lineage: Eukaryota; Viridiplantae; Streptophyta; Magnoliopsida; Solanales; Solanaceae.
AUGAAUUGGUUAGAUUACAAUGAUAGAGGUUGGUGGACACACUGUUCUUGUUCAGAAUUUUGAUUAGAGAAAGGUAUUAUUCGCUAAUUAUAACCCCCUCCUUUUUCAAGAAUACACCUGUAUGAAUGUGAGAAUUGAUUGGUGACUAUUAAUUUUAUUAUCAAAGAGCAGAGUGUUGGAUUGUUUUCAUUCCCAAACAUUUAGUGUUUGAAGACGAAUGAUUUCUAUUUGAUAUGAAGGCUACAAGUAAUCAACCAAAGCAACUAAGUGCAAGUAAAGAUUCUUCAUAGGGAUAAUCUAUUGACGGUUUGGAGAACUUUAGAUUUACUGACCUUCUUUUUAUGCUAGAAAGAAUAAUUUGUAUGUAAUUCUAAUGGUAAAGAUAUGUGAUUAAACUGAUAUGAAGGAUAUAAAAUAUUUGUUGUCCUUUGCUCGUACAUCAACAUCAGUUCACCUUUGACUUUGGCUGUCUGUUCAACUUUUAGCUACUCAUACAGUAACAUCAGCUGUGACACUUCACCAAGGAAUUACUUUGUGAUAUCCAUAACAACCUCAACCUUUUAUUUUAAAAAUCAAACCAAAUUUCUUGUAUCACAAUUCUUUAAAUUAAUACUAAUUUAUUGCCUUUUUAUUUCUUAAAAUCUUCUGGCAGUAUUCAAAGAGGUAUAAAGUUAACACUGAGGAAGGAAGAAAUUUAUGUAAGAAAAGUAUACCCAAAAGCAAAUAGGAAGCAAAUAGGAAGAAAGGCAUAGUUAAACCAUCGAAGAAUUAGGAACCACCCAUGUUUCACAACAUCAUAGUUUGUUUGGGCUCCAAAAUCAUAUUUGUUUGUAACAAAGAAAGUUAUGUAAGAAAAGUAUACCAAGAACAAAUAGGAAGACUGAAUUAAACCAUCAAAGAAUUAAGAGCCACACCUGUUUCACAAUAUCAUAGGUUUUAUGGCUCCAAAAUCAUGUUUGUUUGUACCAACAGAGAGAACAUACAAUUCUUAUGUGUAGGCAUUUUAAUUAACACAGUCAUGAAAUUUUAUUUAAUAGGUCUUCUGAGUUAGUUUGAUUUGUAAUACCAUUAUUGUAGACUUAGAUUUGCAUUUUUGUAGCACAACAAAGGGGGAAGAAAAGAGCAGAAGGACAAACUAUUUAGGAAGAUCAUUAGGUGUUUGCACCAUUGUAGGAAUCAGUAAAUAGGAAAACAUUUCAUUCAUUCUUCAUUAAAGAAAAAAAAUUCCAUUCACCAAAGCCUCCAAUUAUGAGAGUGCAUUUUUCGUCCCUAUCAACCAAAACGUUACAUCAUGUUAAUAUUUCUCAUUGUUUAAAUCUGAUCACUUCUAUAUUCAUAGAUGAUACUUUCGUCCUCCCACAUUCAUCCUCUUCUAUAAAAGAAACCGUUGCAAAACUUUGGACUGCCAGUUUUCGCAACUCUGUAGCCUUCCAUGUACAUACGUGUUUUGAUGCUCACCAUACUUGUGCAUCAAAAGUGAUACAAAUGGCAACCUGAUAUUUUUUCAAGUUACCAAAACAAUUUGCCAUUACUGACAUCUUCUUGUUUCAAAUUGCAGAAAACGUGGAUAUGCACUUCACUUUACGUGAUUUUCUGGUAUAUAAAUUUCUAUUUUGCUAGCCGCUAAAGCAUAUUGGUCAUGUAACUGAUGUAAAUAGUGGUUGCUGAAUGACUCAACAAUAAAUCUUUGGCUUGACCUUGUUUUUUUCCUUUUAUGAUUUGUCCAGGUUUCAAUGUGUUUGACUAACCAGACCAAAUAGAAACGAAGUUACUGUUUGUUCUGUUGUUCGACCAGACAAAAUAGAAACGAAGUUACUAUUUGUCCCUUGUUGGCUCCGCUUGCUGGACAUAUACUUGCUUGCAUCUGUCACUCCACCAAAUAGGUUUUGUAGUAGCAUUUAACUUAGCUCCCUUCUCUUUACCAAGAUAAUUGCCAAAGUCGGGCGGCAUCAAAGUAGCAAACUUAUUGUUGGAGAAGUCCACAUAUUUAGCUGCUAUUGGUGGUAGUGAAAUAUCUCUCGUGAGCAGAUUUGAAUGCAGAUCAAGGAAAUCUAGAAUGCCAAAUCUAUAAGUCUCUUGAAAAUGCAUGAAUUGGUUGCAGAAAGAUUCAGAAAAUAGAUUUCCAUCAUUGAUUUCCCACAACCAGUUUGGUAUUUCACCAGUAAGUUGGCUGCUUGAGAGAUCUAGCAUUUGCAACCUGGGCACGACACCAAGAAUAAACCACCAAGCUGGGGGAGCAAGGCAAGGUCUGAUUCACUUAUAUUUGUGAAAGGCAAGGUCUGAUUCACUUAUAUUUGUGUCAAUUGAUAAGCUGUUGUGGGAUAGAUCAGGGCUUCCAAGGUUAUUGAGCUUUGUAAACGUCUUCAAAUGCAGAGUUCCAUUGAAAUUGUUGGAUGAAAUUGUAAGAGUUCCGAG